CUCAGCCUUUCUUUGUCGCUUUCCUCCGUCUUUUCUUUCCCCUCCAUCAACAAAACGCUAUCAGCAGUUUGUCUUUUUUUUUUUUGCGCGCGCAGCUUUUGUUGCGUUACAAAAGCCUUUGUUGGCCUGCCACCGCUGUGAUGUGGUGGGACGGAGAUGCGCAAGGACAAACUUGAGCUCCGUGAAGGCAGCUCUCAGACACUCGCUGCUCGUCCGGUGAUAAGGGCUCGGGCCGAGCGCUGGCGGCGCCGCCUGGACGCGAGCCAGACACGCGUGUAAACACUCGUCCGCGGGGCCGACUGGCCGUUGAUCUGUGCAGGUGAGUAAAUCCUAUGUGGGUGCGAUGCUCAGCGAGAGGGACCGCCCGCGCAGCACGGCGGGAGUCUCCGCCGGCUGCAGGGCGCCGACAACUGUUACGGAAGGGGCUAAUAAUAACCUGGAGCGGAGCGAGGGCCCGCGGGCCAACCGGUUGAUCCCGGGGGUCCGGUUUCAGCGGCGAGUGAGGAUUAGAGCGGGUCGUGUAUUACAGAGCGGCAUUUCCCCCACGUGAGGGUGAAGGUGGGAGUGCAGAGAUACACAGAACCUUGAAGGCAGAAGUUUGGGAGCUUGGAGAGAACAUUAAGACUAUGAUUGAGGAGAGAGUUGCACUAAAUGGAAACACGUGGAACUCGUGAAUAUAGAAACGGCAUCAGACGUUCCUUUCUUGGAAAGCGGAGGGGUUUUUAUUAGGAAACCAGGAUGUAGAUCAGUCCGUCACCCCCACGCGCCACCAGAAGAGGUAUAAAAACAGCCAGGAAUCCUCUCAACACACUAUAACAGCGUCGCUUCAUCUGCGACACCUUCUAUUUGCUGUGGAGAAGUAGAGCGUGAUGUUAGAACCCGCGCUCUGUAACUGGAGCGAAUAGCAGCGAUUGACUUCCUCCUCGGCGCCGACGCGAUCGCACACGCGAAGUGAUCAGUUGCUCAUUACGGCAAAAAGGACAAAAUAUGAAUACGAUUAAAAGAAAGCAUUUUCACGUUGGAGAGCAGCUAUUAGUUGGUGCUGCUCACGUGUGGGUCCGGACCAGUCAUGCGUUCAUGCCUUUGAUUUGUCAGAUCACCUCGCUGGCUGCCUCCAUUCUCAUUCAUUUCACAGUUCAUUCUAUUACUUGCAUGAGCAAUUACUGCUCGGUGUUGAUGUUUGCUAUUAUUUGCCGCUCGCGUGUGUACAGUGUAAACUCCGGGCGCUUUCCAGAGUCAGUGGCUUCCUGACGAGGUUGAACUAUUUAGCACCGGGCGCCUAUUUACAACAACGUGACCUAAUUAAGGGCCGGACUCCACGUUACGCGUUAUGGUUUGUAGGAUGAAAGCGAAAGGCUCGAAUGAACAGAGACGUUUUCCAGCCCUUCUCCUGGUUUUCCAGCCUUUGUCCUGGUUUUCCAGCCUUUGUCCUGGUUUUCCAGCCUUUGUCCUGGUUUUCCAGCCUUUCUCCUGGUUUUCCAGCCUUUGUCCUGGUUUUCCAGCCCUUCUCCUGGUUUUCCAGCCUUUGUCCUGGUUUUCCAGCCUUUGUCCUGGUUUUCCAGCCCUUCUCCUGGUUUUCCAGCCUUUGUCCUGGUUUUCCAGCCCUUCUCCUGGUUUUCCAGCCUUUGUCCUGGUUUUCCAGCCGGCCUCGCUCCUUCCGUUGGCGACCAGCUGUUUGCCCGUGGCUCAGUAGAAUUGGACAGGUGAAGCAGGACAGCAGGGCAUCAGUGAUACAGUUCGACAGAACCGCAGGCUGCCGAGAGUUCGAUCCGCUCGUGAAGCGAGAACAAAGGUGCGGCUGUGAGAGAAGCCGGUUUGUUUAGUAACGGAGCAGCGGUUGUUAAUGUGAAAUACGUGUUUUUGCGCUGAACGCUGCCUUUCCGUCUUUCGCUGCAGACCCAGCAGCUCGGCCGGGCCCAGCGGUGUAGAACACCUAUUCGGUAACAUUCUCUUCAGGAUGCGCCGAGGUUGAAAUAUGAGCAUUAUGAACCUGUCUUCUGGCUGAGAGCGGAUUCCUUCGCGGGCGCGUAAAGACGCUGGCGCUGGAGACAUGACUUACAAUAAGAAACGGGUGCAAGUGUCCUUGUGAGUGUCAGAACGCAAUUACAGGCCUCUGUAUGUGACUGUGACCCGUGUGUGUGUGUGUGUGUGUGUGUGUGUGUGUGUGUGUGUGUGUGUGUGUGUGUGUGUGUGUGUGCGAGCUCCUCUCCGUGUUGCUGGCGGGUCGUGAUAAACAAAGAAUGCGCAGCCUGUGCGCACACGAACGCUGACGGAUGUGUGCGUUCGCGAGCCGCUAAGUGAAGGAAUGCUGUCGCUCGUCAUUCCUGCACCUCUGCCUCGGCGUGUGCCGACAGGCUCUGUCUCCAGCUCGACCUGUGACAGAAUGGGCACAAUCGUGCGAUGUGGUCCAAACGCAGUGGUUGUGACCGGAGCUCAGGACCAGGACCCGAUGGACCAGGACCCGAUGGACCAGGACCCGAUGGACCAGGACCCGAUGGACCAGGACCCGAUGGACCGACUCAGGGACUAAAUCAUGUCUUGGGAGCAGCCGUCACAUUCUUGGGCCUGAGAAGUGGAAGACAAAGGCAGAAUGCUGCCGUGGACCUGUUGACACCGUCGCGGCCUUGAAGCCUCGUCACAUACAGCGUCCAAUAAAAUGGAGCUUUUCCACUUUUCACGUGACAUUCGACCCGACGGGUCGGUAAAAGACAUGAAAUGUAAAUAUAAAUGAGUCUAACUCUACAAUUCAUAUAUCGCCUAACAUAUAUAGGCUGCAAAUACUUACUUAUUUAUUAUAGAUUUGAUUUUGUCCUCUCAGCCUUGUGCUGCUAAAUUGAAAACACUUCAUGGCUUGUUGCUUGAAUUUAAGGGUUUAUUACACAGGUCUUAUGGGGAAGCAGAGCGGAGCAGCUGGUUAUGGCUCAAACAAAGGACAGGAAGUGCAGGUUAGGCCAGGACAGAUGGGAGCAGGUCUGUGUCACAGUGAUGACCUGCUUCAGUUGAUCAUGCACGACUCAUACGUGGGCACCAUAUACUUGAUGUUGAUGAAGGCAUCCUCCCCCCCGUAGCGCUCGAACACCUCCAGGGUCUCCUGGAUCAGGUCUCCAAUGUUCUCUCUCUUCUGCUGGCUGUAGUCGAUGCCGUCGCCAGAGUUGACUGAGGACAGAGACACACACACACAAUCAGAGCAGCUCAGUCAGGCUGAUCACAGACCGUCCUUAAAUGUGACUUCGAGCCCAGUGAGGUGAUUGGAUUUCAUCUGCUGCUCUACGACAGUCGGGACCGAGCAGCGCGAGAGCUUUCAGCGGUCGGGCUGAGGGUUUAAUGAGGCGUAAGGACGGACGAGCCACGAGCCCUGACCUGGAGUCAGCCUCCACAGCUUUCGGCAAUAUCCGCCACCCUGGGCUGAGGCAAAGAAAAAAAUCUUUAAAAACAAUCAUAAUAAAAGGUCCCACCCUGUGAAGAGAGGGGAAAGGGCCCUGGCAGGAGCUGGCUUUGUGCUCCUCUGAGGGAGAGGAGGGUCGAUACGGACGCGGGCCGAGGGGCGGGGGCUGCACAGGAGGAGGAGGAGGAGGAGGAGGAGGAGGAGGAGGACGGGGGGCUCAGAAGGAGCUGCUUCGUCCCCAGCGUUCACGCUCAGAGCUGGGAGGCGACGGGAGCUUCUUCAUUGUUUCAUUAAGGCAUCGGGGGCCGGUGCUCUCGGCCCCUUCGGGCCCCGCUGUGUUUCCUGCCAAGCCGACACUGGACCGACAACAGCUGCAGCCCCGCUCCUGCUUCUCCAUCCUCCACUCCCCACGGUCCUAAACAACCUGUCUUCCCACAUCAAGCUGAAGACAAGCAGCCACAGAUGCACCGCGGUCUUUCCUCCAACUUCACACUGACCCAAUAGUUUUUCUUUCCUCGGGGCUUCAGAUGGAGUUCAGCAUUCCAUGUACGUUGGACGGCUGUAAUCUGCUCUCCUGCCAGGAAGAGGGAGAGGGUUCGGCCUUGUUUGGAACAGGAAAUGGAGGAAUGCAGGUUGGGGGUGAAGUGGGGAGGACCACGUUCCAGGAAUACUGGCGUUCCUGCACGGCUGACGUGUCAUCCUUCAAUCAGCCACUCGCCAGCCUAGUUUUAGGUCUUUACAUAAGCACAAAGAAUAGACCUUGUUUUUUGUAUUGUUAUAGUCUAUUGCUCCAUAAACCAUAAACCAAUUUCCUCAUGGGAAAUGUGCUGAAUUCCUUUUAAAAUGGCAAUUUCCUUAGAACCCCGUUAUAUUUGUUUUCUCUCUCUCUGAAGAAACAGGCCGAUCUCUUUACUAUCGAUAUUAACCUGGAUUGAUAUUUUUUACUUCACCCUGUAUAGUUUUUUAAACGUUUUCCCUUAAACGUAAACACAACUAUUUAAGGUUUUCAAAUAAAAGGCUACCCAAUAGUUUGUCAGUGACAUACAGCAGAACUGAACACAUCCAGUGAUAAUAAGGGCUGUGAUUCCUCCUCCAGUUUUAGUUGUUUAGCAUGUUCUGUGAGGGCGUUUUGUGCCGUGUCAUGUGACUUGAGACGCAGUAAAAGCAGACCUGCUAAACAGUACAUAGUACUGUAUACAUGUGAGUACAAUCUGUGAGCUAGGCCAUGUGUGUGUGUGUGUGUGUGUGUGUGUAGGUGUGAAGAGGUGGAGACGACCACUGGAGAAGUUCUGUGCU
Molecule: long non-coding RNA, 4681 nt
Organism: Betta splendens (Siamese fighting fish)
Lineage: Eukaryota; Metazoa; Chordata; Actinopteri; Anabantiformes; Osphronemidae
Exons: 4
Source: RefSeq, a predicted model, not a curated record